Molecule: long non-coding RNA, 8335 nt
Filed under: Homo sapiens (human)
Lineage: Eukaryota; Metazoa; Chordata; Mammalia; Primates; Hominidae
Description: PREDICTED lncRNA (TCONS_00195784)
Source: RNAcentral
CUCCGCGCACUACCCUGGGCCCGCCCCCUUUUCAGUCCAGGCCCGGCUUCCGCCCGGUCUCCUGGCAACGCUGCGGCCCCGCCCACGUCAUGGCGCCUGAGGAGAACGCGGGUACCAAACUCUUGCUGCAGAGUUUCGAGCGCCGCUUCCUAGCGGCGCGCACACUGCGCUCCUUCCCCUGGCAGGUGGGCGGCGGGGCGAGCGGAGAGGCCUGCGGGGCUUGCGGAAGUCCAGGGGCAGACGGGAUGGGUCUCCCUGCUGAAACCCCCGGCGCUCCUGCCACGUGAGUUCCUGGGCUCUCCCCGGUCAGGGCCACGAGACCCGGUCCCCGUCCCUGGGGCCUGGCCAGAGUCGCUCUCACCCCUCCUGCCCCGCGAGCUGGCGGCGGAAGCUGGGGGCGUCUCCACAGUCUUGGGGGGCAGACGCGCGCUCGGUGUGGGGUACAGUUCACGAUCAUUUUCAUGACUUUUUAAAGGCAGUAAUCGUUCUGGUCACUGGGACACAGCUGCCCUCGCCCAUUCUAAAAAGUCAGCACCCUCAGGCCCGCGGGUAACCACCUCCUCCUGAGCACGGUGACCAGGUCAAAGGCUGUCCCUCGGGCCUCAGUGUUCUCAUCUGUAUGUCGAGCACUGCACAGAAUCAGCUCAUGCGCUGAGGCUUUCACUCCUGUGAUGGAAGAGACAGAGAAGGGGGUGGCCUCUCCUCUCCCUGGGGACCUGCCAUUCUCAGCACAGGCGCAUGGCAGGCAGCAGCCUCCCUUCUGCCAGCAGAGGGGCUUAAUGCACCCUGCUCCAUUUGUAAUUCAUGUGCGGUGAGCUCACUGGGAUGAGUCAGUUUGGAUAUAUAUUCCUCCCUGGGUCUGCCCCAUUUUAUGGGGUGUUGCUUAAUCAUUUGCGUUAUUCCAUUGACAUGAAAUAUUUAGCACUCAGAGAUCAUUUCUGGUCAGGAGAAAUUUGUGCAUUUUUAACCCAAAAUAGAAACCUUCAUAAAAGCAUCAUAGGUCUCCAUUCAGUAUUGACUAUAAUUGUUCACAUGCCCACGCUGAAUGCUAACUUGGGCUCACCAUCAACACCCACGAGGUGGGUACUAUUAUUAUCACUCACAUUUGACCAGAGGGAUUGUUUGAUUAGGGUGUAGUAGUUGAGAGUUCAGACCCAGGAGACAGCCUGCCUGCUUCAAAUCCUGGCCCAACCCCUGGCCCUGUGUGACCUUGGGCAAGUGACUGCAUCUCUCUGUGCUGUUGUUUUCUUAUUAAUAAAAUGGUUGAUAUAAUGAUACCUACCUCUUAGGGUUGUUGUCAGCGUUGAGUACAAAAGCCUGUGGAUCAGUGCCUGGCUCAUGGCAAAUGCAUGUCGGUGUUAGCUAGUGUUUUUAUUCAGUCUCAAAAUGUUUAAUAAAUGCCUUCCGUGAGCCAAGCACCAUGGAUCAGCAGUACCCAUGAUAGAUGAGGCUCUGCUUGCAUGGGAGAGCUAGAGAAUAAACAAAUAAAUGAAUAAACAAGAAAAGACCAGAUGAGAGUGGCUUUAAAGCCAAGAAAACAGGGGAAUGGUGAAUGGACCAACUGGGAAGAAGAGUCACUAAAGUCGGGGAAUCAGGGAAGCCUUCCCCAAAGACGUGGCAUUUGAACUGGGGCCUGAGUGGUGAAGCAGCCAGCCAUGGGAAGGGUUUGGGGAACAGGAUAUGCAAAGGCCCUGUGGUGGAAACAAGCCAGCUGUGGUUGAGGAACAACAGCAAUGCAGCCAGUGUGGCUGGAGUGGAGUGAGCAGUGUGGGCCAGGGGUGAGGGAGAACAGGCCAGAGAGAGGGAUUAGGACCAGGUCUUGUAGGGCCUUUUAUGGCAUGGAAGGAGCUCUGAAGCAAUGAAGUGCCUUGCUGUGUGUCACAUACCAGCCGAGACAGUCUGCCUAACUCGGGAGCCAAAGCUUGCUGCUGGACUUGCCACUGUAAGAGGACAAUGUAACCCAGGCUGGUAUGGGCACAUUCUGCAUUUCCACUUAAACUCAGAUGGCAAGCCCAUCAAACCUUGGUGCCAUGGCUGCCCUGGUAAUUCCUGGCUGACCAGUGCAACCAGGGAGCUGGCCCAUGACCCGGGUGGCCGCUAAGUAGCCAGGACUAAUGCGGCCAAGAGUCAGCCUUCUUCCUGUGACUCAUCCAGGUGCACCCUGCGACAUCUGAAGGUCAGGCUUUCAGCCGCUGUGGCUUCCACUUCCAACUGGCUCCGCGUCCCCAGGGAGGGAUCACAUAGCGCUUUGCCAACACAUUCUAUUGCGUGUUUUAAUGUUCCUGUGAAUGCGCCCUUGAGAUUUCUCUCUCUCCCGUCCACACGGAGCUUAGAAGCAAAAUUAAGAGACUCAUCAGAUUCUGAGCUGCUGCGGGAUAUUUUGCAGAAGGUAAGAAUUCCAGAGUCCCUGGGACUCAUGACCCUGCCUCCUGAAUCUCUCCGGAAGACCUGAGAGAAGAACCACAGGUUCUUUAAAAACACCCCUGUUCAAAGAACAAAACCAUUGAGUCAGCACUGCAGGUAGGUGUCAGCACCUCCGACAGCUCCUGCGCUUUUGUUUUCUAUCUAAGACUUAGACAAAGACAUCAGAAUAUACAAAAAUCUGCAUGAGGGGGGAAAUCUAGGGAAUGUUUUUUAAACUAUCCUCAGCAAAAACAGAGAUGACAGGUGCAAAACAGCUUCUAGCAUUUGGUGGAUGCUCAGAGACUUUCUUUUUUGCAUUCCUGAGGCCUGUCCUGCCCACUCCUGUCUCCUCUAGACCUAAAUGGGCCCUUGCUUUGCCCAGGGUGGGGUUUGGACUCAAGUGCAUCUGCAUGCAGGUGACAGCCAGGAUCACCACCCGGCCCAGCCACAGCGUGACCUUGGCCUUGAGGGCCAAGUGCAGAUCACCCUGCAUCCUGGGUCUUCACCUUCGAAGGGCCAUGAGCCCUUCAGAAAAGACAAAGCAAUAGACUCCCUCCCAGAAAGAAGUGCACCAGAAGAAUACAUUUUCCAUACAAACUCAGGGGAGGCAGACAUCCUCCACCCCCACCCACCCAGCCCAUCCUAGGAGCCCCAGUGAAGAAUUCCUGUGCUAGAGGUGAACCAAGAUGAUCCACUUGGAAAAGAUGCAGCCACAGCAGGGAAGACUUUCGGGGCAAUACAGUAGGUCAGGGCUUCGAGCAUGGAGAUACCUGAAGUUAUCUCGCACCCUGCUCUGAGUUUCACCCUGAGCCUCACUCUCGUAGGUGGUGAAGCAUGAAAUGUAGGGAGAGCUGCUUUAAAACCCAGCACAAGGCUGGGUGCACUGGUUCACACCUGUAAUCCCAGGACAUUGGGAGGCUGAGGUGGACGGAUCACCUAAGGUCAGGAGUUCAAGACCAGCCUAGCCAACAUGGCAAAAACCCAUCUCUACUAAAAAUUUAAAAAAUUAGCUGGGCGUGGUGGUGCACGCCUAUAGUCCCAGCUACUUGGGAGGCUGAGGCAGGAGAAUCGCUUGAACCCAGGAGGCGGAGGCUGCGGUUAGCCAAGAUCGGGCCACUGCACUCCAGCCUGGGCAACAGAGAGAGACUGUGUCAGAAAAAAUGAAAAACCAGCACCAGCAUGAAGAGCCUGUGUAUUGCAUGGGGUACUUUGCUGCCCUUGGGCAGAAUCUGCAUCCCUCCCAGCCAGCAGGCACUGCGGACUGUCUCCUCCCUCUCCCUCCAGGCUCCUGUUUUCCCACCGUCCCCACUCCUGCUGCACCAGUGCAUCUGCCCUCCUUUCCAAGUGCCAGCCUGUGGCCACCUCAGAGCUUGCACCAGCUGUUCCCACUGCCUGGAACUUGCUCAUCCUGCACUUGGCUUCUCUCGGCUUUAGCUGGAGUGUCACCCUGAGCGUCCCCUCCCCUCCAUCCUGUCCCCAGGGACACACACUCCAAGAGAGCAGUUGCCGAGUGGGCCUUCCCGCCUCUUCCAUAGAGCCAGACAGUUGGCGACUGUCCUUACUGCAAGCCCUGGUUCACACUGGCUCCCCUGGGAGGGAGGUGGUUUAGGCCCACGUGCCCUGUGUUCCUGCUCAGAAUGGGCAUUAGAAAUGCUGCAAUAUCCUGUGCCACUGCAGUGGAAGCAUCUUUAGGAAACGGCUUAUAUCUUAAGACAAACUUCAGAUGCGUGGGGCCAGAACGCCGUGUCCAUCUACAUCUUUGCUGAGGGAUCGGGUAGCCUGGAGUUUGCCCUCUGCUGUGUUGGCUUGAAGCUCAUAGGAGACUUAAGACGGGCUCUCGAGCAACCAACGUUCUGUCCUUUGCUGUAGACUGUGAAGCAUCCUGUGUGUGUGAAGCACCCGCCAUCAGUCAAGUGUGCCCAGUGCUUUCUCUCAGAACUCAUCAAAAAUGUCAGCAAUGGGCAGUGUCCGCCCAGUAGCUGGACAGCAUAGCCACCUGCGUGCUGGAGCCCCCGUCCUUCCCAGGCCCUGGGCCUGCUUUGCCAAUACCAGCAUGGCAGGGGCCUCCCCAGGCAACUGGCUGCAGCUGAGUGUGACCCAUGGGAGACAGUGCAGGGCAGGAAGAAGGGGAGACCAGCGUCUCUCCCUCACUCUGCCUCAUGGGGUUUCCACAGCAGCUGCUUCUCUGGGGCCCCAGCUCCUAGAAUAUGAAUUCUCAUUCCUACCAGGCUGGUCCAGCCCACAGCACUGGAACCCUCAUCCACACCCUCUGUCCUGCCCGCUGAAGGGUUUGGAGUUUCCUGCUCUUGUCUGUCUCUGGGUUGCCCCACAGGCCCCUGUUGGAAGAUUUAGCUCUUGCCAUACCUUUGGAACUAGUUCCUCUGUGAAUUCUCUGCAUUGAUCCUGCUGGAAUGAGCUCUUUCCUGACUGAUACAGGAUGGAUUUUAUUUUUUACUUAUUUAUUUAGUUUUUUGAGACAGUCUCACUGUGGUGCCCAGGCUGGAUUACCGUGGCACAAUCUCGGCUCACUGAAACCUCUACCUCCUGGGUUCAAGCAACUCUCGUGCCUAAGAAGCUGGGACUACAGGCACACGCCACCAUGCCUGGCUAAUUUUUGUAUUUUUAGUAGAGAUAGAGUUUCACCAUGUUGGCCAGGCUGGUCUCGAACUCCUGACCUCAGGUGAUCCGCCUGCCUCAGCCUCCCAAAGUGCUGGGAUUACAGGCAUGAGCCACCACACCUGGCCUAGGAUGGAUUUUAAAGAUGGGCCCAAACAUGCAGGGUUUGACAUGAGGAUGUCGAGAGGCCGUUCCUUAGUAGGCAGUAGCAGACCUGCUGAGUGAAAGGGCCACACUUUUAGCAAAUAAACAAUCCCCUGCUUCUCCAAUACCUGCUUUCUCCCUAGUCCUCCCCAAAAGCGUGCAUCUGUGUUCACCAGCAGGUCUGCCCUGUGCCACCAGGAGAGGGCAGCAGUCACCCAGUGUACCCUGCUGCUGCCCUGUGAAUCCUAGGAUGGGACCAGCUGUGGAGAAGCAGCCUGCUGACAGCCACAGCCUGCAGCAUGGGCCGCCCUCACAGUUCUGCCUGGGCUCACUUAAAAGCACCUUUUGUUUUCCUCCUCUCUGUUUGAUCCAAACACAGAGCUCUCUGUCAUGGUCACGUGGCAGCUCUCACGGAAUCCUUGUUUCCUUCCCUAGACUACACCUAACCCUAACCUCUCAACACCUCUUGUUGAAGGCCCUCCCAUCCAGGUUGCCCUACCAAGUGAAAUUUUUUUUAGAGACAAGGUCUCUUGCCCAGGCUGUCCUCGAACUCCUGGGCUCAAGCAGUCCUCCCGUGUCAGCCUCUAGAUUAGCUGGGACUAUUCGGCACACACCACCACACCCAACGAAGUGAGUAUUUUAUAUGCCAGCUGGCUGGUAUUACACCAUUCCAUCCCAAAUCUCCCCUCCAAACUUGGUGAAAAUCAUCUGACCAUUUUUACAGAUUAGAACGAAAGCAAACAAGCUCUCACUCUGUCUGCCCCCAGCACGAGGCUGUCCACACGGAGCUUUUGGACGAGCUGUACGAGGCGCUGGCAGAGACCCUGAUGGCCAAGGAGUCCACCCAGGGCCACUGGAGCUAUUUGCUGCCCUCGGAAGGCUCGGUCACACUCUCCGAGCACAGCCAUCAUCUCCCACGGUACCACAGGCCUGGUCACAUGGGACGCUGCCCGCUACCUUGCAGAAUGGGCCAUCAAGAACCUGGCAGCCUUCACUAACAGGUGACCUCGGGGCACAGGGCAGCCGCCAUCUACCUUGCAGAAUGGGUCAUUGAGAACCUGGCAGCCUUCACUAACAGGACUGUCCUAGAGCUUGGCAGUGGCGCCGGCCUUACAGGCCUGUCCAUCUGCAAGAUGUGCCACCCCCGGACAUACAUCUUCAGCGACUGUCACAGCCGGGUCCUCGAGCAGCUCCGAGGGAAUGUCCUUCUCAAUGGCCUCUCAUUAGAGGCAGACAUCACUGCCAACUUAGAUAGCCCCAGGGUGACAGUGGCCCAGCUGGACUGGGAUGUAGCGACGGUCCAUCAGCUCUCUGCCUUCCAGCCAGAUGUUGUCAUUACAGCAGUAACCUGAAGCUUUCACCGUAGACGUGCUGUAUUGCCCAGAAGCCAUCGUGUCCCUGGUCGGGGUCCUGCGGAGGCUGGCUGCCUGCUGGGAGCACCAGCGGGCUCCUGAGGUCUACAUGGCCUUUACCGUCCGCAACCCAGAGACGUGCCAGGUGUUCACCACCGAGCUAGGCUGGGCUGGGAUCAGAUGGGAAGCGGAAGCUCAUCAUGACCAGAAACUGUUUCCCUAUGGAGAGCACUUGGAGAUGGCAAUGCUGAACCUCACACUGUAGGACUCAUACACGACUCCAACGGGAUUGUUAGAAUCAAAUCACUCUCGUGGGAAGAAUUUUUAUAUGGGAAAGCGGAUAAAACUUUCAUUGGACUGGAAUGUUUGGAGAAUGUUAAAUUCCAAAUCAGGAACCACAAUCUGCCCUCUAAUAAGACAUCGGCUAUCUAAGCAUGUGGGUGCCCCCUUUCUGCCAGCAGUUCUGGUUCUUAAGAAAAUCACCAUAAAUCAGACAUGAAAAUUCUGGCUCCAAAAAUAGCAUUUUCUUUGUGCAAAUAAAAACGUGUGUAUCAAGUAUGACGUUCCCCCAACGUGGACACACUCGGUUCCUCACAAAGCCAAGCCCGCUGCAGCUGCCACAUCCCUGGACACACUCGGUUCCUCACAAAGCCAAGCUCGCUGCAGCUGCCACAUCCCUGGACACAUUCGGUUCCUCACAAAGCCAAGCCCGCGGCAGCUGCCACAUCCCUGGACACACUCGGUUCCUCACAAAGCCAAGCCCGCUGCAGCUGCCACAUCCCUGGGCUUGUGGUGCAGCAGGUGCUUUUCUCAAGACAGGAAUCAAAGUGUUAGGAACAUGGCAGAAAGGUGACACCUGGAGACCAAAUGCAGGAUGAGGAGUACUGCAGAGGUCACAGGGAAGUCACAGAACAGUAAUACGCUAGCAGGGACAUGGGGCGUGAAGAACAGAAGAAGACAGGAAGCAUUUCUGAGACUCCAAAGAAGAAAUCAGGGCCAACCACAGCUUCCCGGGUCAUUCACCAGGUGGCACCACUGCCGUCAUUUCAGCUUCUGGCCACUGGGAGGCGCUGCUUGAAAGGGUUUGCCCUGAGACUCCAAGAAGAAGCUGCGGGAAGGACAGCAGGGGCCCUGGGGUUUUAGCCUCUGGCCCAGGAGUUAUGUGUCCAUAACCAAAGGGAGCACAGUCUGCACCCAGCUCUCAUCCCAUCAGAGCUGCUGCGACUCCCGCAGGUUCUUCCGGAACUGGUUUAGCUUGCCUUCAGGAUCAGGAAAGUUUGAGAAAAGCAUCUGCAAAAUACUGAAGAGCAGAGCUUACCUCAUUGCCUGUCCCCACCCCAUCCCAGGUCACCACCUGGAUGACCCCAGCUCCCCGACCCAACAACAACCCCUCCCAAGUCCCUAGCUCCCUCACUUGGACUUGAGACCCUUCACACCCCAGCAGCGCUCCGCCUCCAUCUUGACAUGCUUUCUGGAAACUUCCCCGUAUGUCCCACUUUCCCACACUUGGUGCCCUGGAGCACCUUCCGGCCUCUACAUGAUGUACGUUCCCCUGUGAGCACCCUCCUCUCGGCCUCUGGCCAACACAGUCCCACCCAUCUGUGGGUAACAAGGGGGUGUUCUUUUCAGCCUUGCUAAACUGUCUGAAUCAAGGAUCACAAACUACAGCCUGCAGGCCAAAUCCAGCCCACAGCCUGUGUUUGUAAAUAAAGCUUUAUUGGAACAAAGCCACACCCCUUAAUCUACAGAUGAUCUGUGGCUACUUUCACACCACAACAGAGUACCAUGGUUCUGACAGAGACUGGGGGACCCAGUCUAAA